This is a long non-coding RNA of Papio anubis (olive baboon), 2267 nucleotides long. The record is from Ensembl. Lineage: Eukaryota; Metazoa; Chordata; Mammalia; Primates; Cercopithecidae.
AGUGUGGCAUUAGCUAGAAAUGUACUAGUUGAGAUUGAGACUUCUUUUGUUUAAGACACUUUUGCAUUUCCUGCUCUCAGAACUCUUUUCAUCUCCCUUUUUUUAAAAAAAAUUAUUCCCACUGAAUUAUUGGUCAUUUUCUAACUAAAGUGCUAUAUAUUGAGGAUGUUAGUAUUUUGUGAUUGAAUGGCAAAUACAUUUUUCCUAGCUUGUCAUGUACCUUUUGUCAUGUGCCUGUUUUUUUUUUUUUUUGGAUGGAGUCUCACUCUAUAGCCUAAGCUGGAGUGCAGUGGUGCAAAGUGUUUUUUUUUUUUUUUUUUUAGACAGGGUUUUCUUCUGGCACCUGGGCUGGAGUGCAGUGGCAUGAUCUCAGGUAAGUACAGCCUUGACCCACCUGGGCUCAAGUGAUCUUUCCAUCUCAGCCUCCUGAGGAGCUGGGACUACAGAUGUGAGCCACUGUGCCUGACAUCUUUUGUUUGUCUUUGGUGUUUUAUGCUGUGCAAAGUUAUGAUUUGAUUUAGUACAGUUUAUCAGUGUUUUUCCUUUUAUGGCUUUGCAUUUUGAGGCAGCAUUAGAAAGACCUUUCCCACUCUGGGGUUAUAAAUAUUUCUCUUUCUUUACAGAAUGAUUAUUGUCCCAGGACUAUGCAUUUCUUUCCAGGUCUGUGAGACUGGCUGGACAUUUAGAUCUACUGUAUGGCAUUGUCAUUUUGUGAAAGCCUGGGAGAAGAGGAGGCUGCAGAUAAUGAGUUCAAAUUACAAAUACAGUGUGGGCCACAUGUGGCAGUAGUAGGAAGAGGAAAGGGAAGACCCCAUUAAAGGACGGUUGGGAACUCAUCCUAUGUCAAGAGCAGAUGCUGGUGAACUCAUGCGGUGGGCAUUGUGUAACAUGUCUACACACAGGAACUCUAAGCCCGAGGAGGAGGGCUUCUCACAGGAGGUUGAUAACAGAUCUCAGACCUUGUUGGAGGUAUGAUUAUAUGCUUUAGGUUGCCAUUGAUAUUUGAAUAAUUUUAAUUUCCAGCUUUUACAUAGUAACUGCCCCCACAACUGAUUGCUUUGUAUUCUGUGAACUCGAUUCAUGCAUUAUCUCUCCCGAAGAGCUGCAACUUCCCGAGAGCUUGGGGACUGUUAUAUUUUCUUGCACUCCCAGCUCCUAUAGAAGGAGAAGGGAAAUGGCAAUUUAGUGCUAGCACCAGCUAUAAAGUCUAUAAACAUUGCUCUCUGUUUAAGUGCUUAUGUAGAUCCUGGGAAGUGGGUAAUGUUAUGAUCUUAGAUAACUGGGAUUCAGAGAGGGUGGAACUGUGCCUAACAUGACAGGUGAUAGGGUCAGGAUUCAAAUCCACGUCUGCCUGGCUCCAGAGCAGCUGCUGGUUCUCUACCCUGUGCUGCCUCCGGUGCAACGACUGCUGUGCAGAAGAUGCUCAUGAAAUGUUUGUUGGUCCUGUGACUCAAGCUUUCCUUGGAACUGCUUCCAGUGGCACCCGCACAAUGAUAUUUGAUACUUGUCAUGUGCGCACAAUAUCUUGAGUGUAAAUAUAUUGCAAAAUGUUCCAUGUUUUUAUAGUUAGUGCAUGGUAAGCAUUAGGAUAAGAUGCAUAGUCAAGUUAAUGAACACUGUGCUGGCCCAGAUGGAAAGAAAAGGGGACAUUUGAACUCUGAAAACUGCAUUGUGAAAAGCUUUUCUUAGCUUAUUAAUUUUUCGAAUCUGAUGAAGUAUUCUUAGUGCAUCUGGAUAUGACAAAGGCCACUGAUGUUACUGAUGGGAAGUAUGAUUUGACAACAGCUCUUCCAGUAGCUGUGCUGUGAUGGGGACCUCUUCUGGGGGACGUUUGUGGGGAGGAGGUGGGUUUCAUUCAGAAUCACCAGCCAACCAUGUCCGUUUGACAGGUUAAGCCUGUCUUCCUUCUUAGACUGAUGGAACAGACGUCACCCUCCUAUGUGAGAUCUCUGCUUGCACUCAGAGGGGAGUGACUCCCUCACAUUCCCCAAAGGGGCAGGCCUAGGAAAACCCAGGUGAAAGGCUAAGGCUGGCCAGUGGGAAGAGCUGGCUGCCCACUGAAAACCAGGCUUUAAAACCAUCACUGUCAUUCUGCACAAAAGAUCUCUGCCUUUGACAGUUAUCUGUACUGACCACUGUAUUUCCUAGAUUCAAAGGCAAAUAAAACCAACUCUAUCCUUCCUUCCACACUCAAAAGGAAGUCUUGAAGGGGCAUCAAAGGCAGCCAGGACAAUGAGAAUGGGUGCCCUCCUGCCAUGCAGCUCUCU